Molecule: non-coding RNA, 21 nt
Filed under: Arabidopsis thaliana (thale cress)
Lineage: Eukaryota; Viridiplantae; Streptophyta; Magnoliopsida; Brassicales; Brassicaceae
Source: RNAcentral
UGACUGCUCCUACAAUGAUCU